This 2007-nucleotide ribosomal RNA is filed under the name Triticum aestivum (bread wheat). Its description in RNAcentral is "partial small subunit ribosomal RNA". Lineage: Eukaryota; Viridiplantae; Streptophyta; Magnoliopsida; Poales; Poaceae. The record is from RNAcentral.
AUGGCCGCAGGCUGCGCUCUCUACGCCCUCCCGCCCCCCUGCGCAAAUCGCCGUUUGACUGGCAGGGUUCAGGGAGCUAGAAGAUGGCUUGCUUCGCAGCAGAGUUGUUGUGUUCGUCCCAUUGCUUCCAAAGCUCGUUUACCCUGGCGCGGUGCAGGCCGCUCGCUCGGCCCGCUUACGCUUGUCCAUGCCGCCCAAGGGUAUCCCAUCAUGGAUGCAGCAAAGGACACAAACCCGUCAUGUAAACUCCACACAAGACUGAGACUCUGGGAGUUUGCAGACCGUUAUAUAUUUGAACCAAUUGAUGGUCUUGCUGACUUAUAUUUGUCAGUUAGCCGGGCCAGUGGAUCAAUGAAUUUAGUUGAAGAGUUGCCACCACGUAGCCCCUCCAUAAAUCCUAAAGUUCAAACAGUUUUUGGUGUGAUAGGAGUGCUCAAACUUGCUGUUGGAUCGUAUUUUUUUGUGAUCACUGACCGUGAUUGUGUGGGAUCAUACUUGGGGCAUGCAAUUUUUAAAGUGACAGGACUAAAAGUCCUUCGCUGCAAUGACUCGCUUAACACUUCUCCCGAGCAGAAAAAAAUGGAAUCUGAAAUUUCCGAACUCCUGGAUGCUGCAGAGAAGACCAUGGGCCUCUACUUCUCCUAUGAUAUCAACUUAACACUUAAUUCACAGAGGCUGUAUGAUGUCGAUGACGAGUUCAAAUCACGUCCUCUUUGGAGACAGGCAGAGCCGAGAUUUCUGUGGAAUAGCUACUUGUUGGAACCUCUAAUUGAGAACAAACUGGACCAGUAUUUGUUGCCAGUCAUUCAAGGCAGUUUUCAGAAUAUCCAGGCAGAAGUUGGGUCAGAGAAGGUAAAUGUGACCCUGAUAGCACGUAGGUGCACAGGGAGGAUAGGCACUCGUAUGUGGAGAAGAGGAGCUGAUCCAGAGGGUUAUGCUGCAAACUUUGUUGAAUCGGAGCAGAUAAUGCAAUCAAAAGGGUAUACAGCAUCCUAUGUACAAGUUCGAGGUUCUAUGCCAUUCUUGUGGGAGCAGAUUGUUGAUUUGACAUACAAACCUAGCUUCGACAUUGUUAGACAAGAGGAAGCGCCUAGUGUACUUGAGAGGCACUUCAAAGACUUACAAAAGAAAUAUGGAGCUGUCUUGGCUGUUGAUCUUGUCAAUACACAAGGUGGUGAAGGCCGACUCCAUGAAAGAUAUGCAAAAUCUAUCGAACCAAUUCUCAGUGAAGAUGUAAGAUAUGUGCAUUUUGACUUCCAUCGUAUUUGUGGGCAUGUUCACUUUGAGCGCCUCUCACAGUUGUAUGAGCAAAUUGAGGAUUACCUGAAGAAACACAAGUACUUCCUGUUGAAUGAGAAAGGCGAGAAAAUUCAGGAGCAGCUCGGCGUUGUCAGAAAUAAUUGUAUUGAUUGUUUAGAUCGUACCAAUGUAACUCAGAGCAUGAUUGCGAGAAGAAUUCUGGAGAGCCAACUUCAACAAAUAGAAGUUUUUGGUGUUAACGAUACAAUAACCAAGUAUCCAGCUUUUGAUGCAAGCUACAAAGUUUUGUGGGCCAAUCAUGGAGAUGCAAUAAGCAUUCAGUACUCCGGAACUCCUGCUUUGAAGGGAGAUUUUGUUCGAUACGGGAAACGAAGUGCCCAGGGAAUUUUGAAUGAUCUCCAGUAUUCACUUGCUCGAUACUACUUGAACAACUUCGCAGAUGGGACGAAGCAGGAUGCCAUGGAUCUUCUUCAAGGACGUUACAUCACAUCUGUUAGUCGAGACAUGGCACCUCCAACAAAAGCAGGAUUUGUAGAGAGUUAUGCGUCCGCCCGCCUUGCUUUUGCAUUGGUUUCCGGAGCUUUUAUGUUCAUGAUGAUGUCACUGAGACAUGCUCGGCAUGACGCUCGUCAUUUACUGCUGUCACUUCUCUGGGCCGGUCUUUGUAUCGGGAUCACACACUUUGUGAGAAGCAAUGGCCGGGUGUUCACGAACCGGCCCCGUGCCCACAAGUCGUCACGCCCUUGA